CAGUCGCCGCGGUAAUACGAAGGGGGCUAGCGUUGUUCGGAUUUACUGGGCGUAAAGGGCGCGUAGGCGGACUGAUAAGUCAGGGGUGAAAUCCCAAGGCUCAACCUUGGAACUGCCUUUGAUACUGUUUGUCUUGAGUUCGAGAGAGGUAAGUGGAACUGCGAGUGUAGAGGUGAAAUUCGUAGAUAUUCGCAAGAACACCAGUGGCGAAGGCGGCUUACUGGCUCGAUACUGACGCUGAGGCGCGAAAGCGUGGGGAGCAAACAGGAUUAGAUACCCCCGUAGUCCCUGUCUCUUAUAC
This 301-nucleotide ribosomal RNA is filed under the name uncultured bacterium. RNAcentral describes it as "partial 16S ribosomal RNA". It matches the Rfam family "Bacterial small subunit ribosomal RNA", at positions 509 to 807 of the family's 1533-position model. The record is from RNAcentral.